RNAcentral lists this transfer RNA (64 nucleotides) under Cyrtodactylus quadrivirgatus. Its description in RNAcentral is "tRNA-Tyr". Lineage: Eukaryota; Metazoa; Chordata; Lepidosauria; Squamata; Gekkonidae. The record is from RNAcentral.
AGGUAUGGUGGCCGAGUAUAUGGCGAGUUGUAGCUCGUGUACGGGAAUUGUGCCCCCCAACCAA